RNAcentral lists this ribosomal RNA (681 nucleotides) under Asaia sp. AR3. Its description in RNAcentral is "bacterial SSU rRNA". It matches the Rfam family "Bacterial small subunit ribosomal RNA", at positions 60 to 785 of the family's 1533-position model. The record is from RNAcentral. Lineage: Bacteria; Pseudomonadati; Pseudomonadota; Alphaproteobacteria; Acetobacterales; Acetobacteraceae.
AGUCGCACGGACCUUUCGGGGUGAGUGGCGGACGGGUGAGUAACGCGUAGGGAUCUAUCCAUGGGUGGGGGAUAACACCGGGAAACUGGUGCUAAUACCGCAUGAUACCUGAGGGUCAAAGGCGCAAGUCGCCUGUGGAGGAGCCUGCGUUCGAUUAGCUUGUUGGUGGGGUAAAGGCCUACCAAGGCGAUGAUCGAUAGCUGGUCUGAGAGGAUGAUCAGCCACACUGGGACUGAGACACGGCCCAGACUCCUACGGGAGGCAGCAGUGGGGAAUAUUGGACAAUGGGCGAAAGCCUGAUCCAGCAAUGCCGCGUGUGUGAAGAAGGUCUUCGGAUUGUAAAGCACUUUCGACGGGGACGAUGAUGACGGUACCCGUAGAAGAAGCCCCGGCUAACUUCGUGCCAGCAGCCGCGGUAAUACGAAGGGGGCUAGCGUUGCUCGGAAUGACUGGGCGUAAAGGGCGCGUAGGCGGUUCAUACAGUCAGAUGUGAAAUUCCAGGGCUUAACCUUGGGGCUGCAUUUGAUACGUAUGGACUAGAGUGUGAGAGAGGGUUGUGGAAUUCCCAGUGUAGAGGUGAAAUUCGUAGAUAUUGGGAAGAACACCGGUGGCGAAGGCGGCAACCUGGCUCAUUACUGACGCUGAGGCGCGAAAGCGUGGGGAGCAAACAGGAUUAGAUAC